Molecule: transfer RNA, 76 nt
Filed under: Candidatus Peregrinibacteria bacterium CG11_big_fil_rev_8_21_14_0_20_46_8
Lineage: Bacteria; Candidatus Peregrinibacteriota
Description: tRNA-Thr
Rfam family: tRNA
About the family: Transfer RNA (tRNA) molecules are approximately 80 nucleotides in length. Their secondary structure includes four short double-helical elements and three loops (D, anti-codon, and T loops).
Source: RNAcentral
GCCAGUGUAGCUCAGCUGGUAGAGCACUCCCUUCGUAAGGGAUAGGUCGUCGGUUCGACUCCGAUCACUGGCUCCA